RNAcentral lists this unclassified non-coding RNA (459 nucleotides) under Hevea brasiliensis (rubber tree). The record is from RNAcentral. Lineage: Eukaryota; Viridiplantae; Streptophyta; Magnoliopsida; Malpighiales; Euphorbiaceae.
GCAAAAAGUGUGCCUAAAUUCCAUAGAGUGCUUUCUUAGAUAUUCUUCCAACUUGGAGACAUCCUCCCUCCUAAAAAUGUCCCACAACGCACCGCACAUCUCAUCUGUUUCAUCUGCAGUGGGCAAACCAGCGAGUCUAGCACCUCUUAGCUGAUCAUGGGAAAUCUCUCGUUUUUCACUAAUUUCAGAGGGGUAGUUCUCUAGCUCAGUAAUAUUUGAUACAUCCAUCUCUUUCCGACUACCACUGCAGUCACCAAUUUGCCCAAUGGGAUGAUGGUUUACCUUGUCAUGCUCCAAACGUUCUUUCUCAUCCUGUUCCAAAUGUUUCCUUUUGAGCUGUUGUAUGCCAGUGCGCUGUUCUUCACUUAAAGCUACCUCCGCAGUAUGUGUUAAAAUAUUCACCGCAUCCGACAUAUCACAAUGAAGUUUAGUUACCGAGUCCCCUCUGCCAAGCUCUUC